AUGGCUGCGGCGACGGCGAUGGCCAUGCUGGCGGCGCUGGCGAUCCUCGUCCUCAUGCCGUCGGCGCGAGGGCUCGGCCGCGCCGAGUUCCCGCCGGGGUUCCUCUUCGGCGUCGCGACGUCUGCUUACCAGAUCGAGGGCGCGUACCUGGAGGACGGCAAGGGCCUCAGCAACUGGGAUUUCUUCACCCACACAAACUGUAAGUCAUCUUCUCGGUUUUCUGGAGCUUCCAUGUCCUUGCGUGAUCCAUGGCAGUACCAUGUGUGUGGGUGUCGGUGUUCUUUUUUUUUUUUAGGAUUGUGUGAUCCAUGUUGCUUAGGGGGAUAA
RNAcentral lists this ribosomal RNA (327 nucleotides) under Triticum aestivum (bread wheat). RNAcentral describes it as "partial small subunit ribosomal RNA". The record is from RNAcentral. Lineage: Eukaryota; Viridiplantae; Streptophyta; Magnoliopsida; Poales; Poaceae.